This 473-nucleotide ribosomal RNA is filed under the name uncultured delta proteobacterium. RNAcentral's name for it is "bacterial SSU rRNA". It matches the Rfam family "Bacterial small subunit ribosomal RNA", at positions 400 to 863 of the family's 1533-position model. The record is from RNAcentral. Lineage: Bacteria; Deltaproteobacteria.
UGUGAGUGAUGAAGGCUUUCGGGUCGUAAAGCUCUGUCACGUGGGAAGAACCUGUCUGAUACCAAUACCAUCAGGCACUGACGGUACCACGAAAGGAAGCACCGGCUAACUCCGUGCCAGCAGCCGCGGUAAGACGGAGGGUGCAAGCGUUAUUCGGAAUUACUGGGCGUAAAGGGCGCGUAGGCGGCUCUUUAAGUCAGGCGUGAAAGCCCGGGGCUCAACCCCGGAAGUGCGUUUGAUACUAAAGAGCUCGAGUACGGGAGAGGGAAGUGGAAUUCCUGGUGUAGAGGUGAAAUUCGUAGAUAUCAGGAGGAACACCGGUGGCGAAGGCGACUUCCUGGACCGAUACUGACGCUGAGGCGCGAAAGCGUGGGGAGCAAACAGGAUUAGAGACCCUGGUAGUCCACGCUGUAAACGAUGAACACUAGGUGUAGCGGGUAUUGACCCCUGCUGUGCCGCAGCUAACGCAUUAA